This 1571-nucleotide ribosomal RNA is filed under the name Breviceps mossambicus (Mozambique rain frog). Its description in RNAcentral is "16S ribosomal RNA". It matches the Rfam family "Bacterial large subunit ribosomal RNA". Lineage: Eukaryota; Metazoa; Chordata; Amphibia; Anura; Brevicipitidae. The record is from RNAcentral.
GCCCAAUAUCUAGCUCUACCCCCCCCCCCCAAAAAUUAAAUAUCCUAAAACCCACUAACAAAACAUUCUCAUAGUUCAGUAAAGGCGAUUAAAAAACCAAUAGAAGCUUCAGAAAUUGUACCGCAAGGGACUGAUGAAAUAAAAUGAAAUAAAACAAAGCACAUCAAAGCAGAGAUUAAUCCUCGUACCUUUUGCAUCAUGGUCUAGCUAGUCCAACCAAGCAAAAUGUUUUUACAGUUUGACUCCCCGAAACUAAGUGAGCUACCUCAGAACAACUUUUAGAGCCAACCCUUCUCUGUUGCAAAAGAGUGGGAAGAUUCUCAGGUAGCGGCGAAAAACCUAUCGAACUUAGAAAUAGCUGGUUAUUCAAGAAACGGAUCUUAGUCCAACCUAAAGUACAUAAAUAAAUCUAUAAUUCCACUUUAGCGUCAUUCAAAUAAGGUACAGCUUAUUUGAACCAGGAUACAACCUCAUACACCGGGUAAUGUCUUCACCAAAUAACCAAGUUGACCUAAAAGCAGCCACCUUAAAAAAAGCGUCAAAGCUUAAUUAUUACUUUUAACUAAUACCUAAAACCAACCAGACCCCCCCCCCCCCAAAUAUUGAAUGACUCCAUAACCAUAUGGAAAACCUAAUGCUAGAACAAGUAACAAGAAGAAGACCUUCUCUAAAUGCAAGUGUAAUCCUCAAUGAACAAAUCACCGGAACUCACCGCCAAUGAACCAAAAGCGUUAACACCUCAAAACUACACUAAACAUAGCGUCAACCUUACACAAGAACAUUUCCAUGAAAGAUUAAAAAAAACGGAAGGAACUCGGCAAAUUUAGCCCCGCCUGUUUACCAAAAACAUCGCCUCUUGCUAAAAAAUAAGAGGUCCAGCCUGCCCAAUGAUUAUUUAAAUGGGCGCGGUAUCCUAACCGUGCGAAGGUAGCAUAAUCACUUGUCUACUAAAUAUAGACUUGUAUGAAUGGCAUCACGAGGACUAUACUGUCUCCCCCAUUUAAUCAGUAAAACUGAUCUUCCCGUGAAGAAGCGGGAAUUCAUCUAUAAGACGAGAAGACCCCAUGGAGCUUUAAACUAAGAGACAAAUGCCAAAUUCAACACCAUCAAAUUCUGCACCAAUGACUCAAAGUUUUCGGUUGGGGCGACCACGGAGCACAAAAAAACCUCCUCGAUGAAAGAAUAUAAAAUUCUUACCCUAGAACUACACCACAAAGGACCACUAACGUGACAUCCAUUGACCCAAACAUUUGAUCAACGAACCUAGUUACCCUGGGGAUAACAGCGCAAUCCAUUUCUAGAGCCCAUAUCGACAAAUGGGUUUACGACCUCGAUGUUGGAUCAGGAUAUCCUAGUGGUGCAACCGCUACUAAAGGUUCGUUUGUUCAACGAUUAAAACCCUACGUGAUCUGAGUUCAGACCGGAGCAAUCCAGGUCGGUUUCUAUCUAUAAAGAGUUUACUCCAGUACGAAAGGACCGAAUAAACAUGACCAAUGCAUAAACAAGCCAUAAUUAAACUAAUGCCACCAACUCAAUUAAUUUAGUCUACCAUAAAUACCUAGACAAGGUAC